GACCUAGCAAUAGGUUGAUGGCGACCGGCGCACGGGUGAGUAACACGUAUCCAACCUACCGGUUAUUCCGGGAUAGCCUUUCGAAAGAAAGAUUAAUACCGGAUAGUAUAACGAGAAGGCAUCUUUUUGUUAUUAAAGAAUUUCGAUAACCGAUGGGGAUGCGUUCCAUUAGUUUGUUGGCGGGGUAACGGCCCACCAAGACAUCGAUGGAUAGGGGUUCUGAGAGGAAGGUCCCCCACAUUGGAACUGAGACACGGUCCAAACUCCUACGGGAGGCAGCAGUGAGGAAUAUUGGUCAAUGGACGAGAGUCUGAACCAGCCAAGUAGCGUGAAGGAUGACUGCCCUAUGGGUUGUAAACUUCUUUUAUAUGGGAAUAAAGUGAGCCACGUGUGGCUUUUUGUAUGUACCAUACGAAUAAGGAUCGGCUAACUCCGUGCCAGCAGCCGCGGUAAUACGGAGGAUCCGAGCGUUAUCCGGAUUUAUUGGGUUUAAAGGGAGCGUAGGCGGACUAUUAAGUCAGCUGUGAAAGUUUGCGGCUCAACCGUAAAAUUGCAGUUGAUACUGGUCGUCUUGAGUGCAGUAGAGGUAGGCGGAAUUCGUGGUGUAGCGGUGAAAUGCUUAGAUAUCACGAAGAACUCCGAUUGCGAAGGCAGCUUACUGGACUGUAACUGACGCUGAUGCUCGAAAGUGUGGGUAUCAAACAGGAUUAGAUACCCUGGUAGUCCACACAGUAAACGAUGAAUACUCGCUGUUUGCGAUAUACGGCAAGCGGCCAAGCGAAAGCAUUAAGUAUUCCACCUGGGGAG
RNAcentral lists this ribosomal RNA (807 nucleotides) under uncultured bacterium. Its description in RNAcentral is "bacterial SSU rRNA". It matches the Rfam family "Bacterial small subunit ribosomal RNA", at positions 73 to 880 of the family's 1533-position model. The record is from RNAcentral.